Molecule: ribosomal RNA, 756 nt
Filed under: uncultured bacterium
Lineage: Bacteria
Description: bacterial SSU rRNA
Rfam family: Bacterial small subunit ribosomal RNA
Source: RNAcentral
CCUACGGGAGGCAGCAGCAAGGAAUUUUCGGCAAUGGGCGCAAGCCUGACCGAGCAACGCCGCGUGGAGGAUGACGGCCUUCGGGUUGUAAACUCCUUUUGAAGGGGAUGAUACAAGACAGUACCCUUCGAAUAAGCCCCGGCUAACUCUGUGCCAGCAGCCGCGGUAAGACAGAGGGGGCAAGCGUUGUCCGGAAUUACUGGGCGUAAAGGGCACGCAGGUGGCACGGUACGUGUGGUGUGACAGCGGACGGCUUAACCGUCCGAGGCCAUCACAGACUGCCGAGCUUGAGCCGUUCAGAGGUCAGCGGAAUUGCCGGUGUAGGAGUGAAAUCCGUAGAUACCGGCAGGAACACCCACGGGGAAGCCAGCUGACUGGGAACGUGCUGACACUCAGGUGCGAUAGCGUGGGGAGCGAACCGGAUUAGAUACCCGGGUAGUCCACGCCGUAAACGAUGAUGACUCGACCUUUGGGGGGGUAAAACUCCUUGGGGGUCACAGCAAACGCGAUAAGUCAUCCGCCUGGGAAGUACGAGCGCAAGCUUAAAACUCAAAGGAAUUGACGGGGACCCGCACAAGCAGCGGAGCGUGUGGUUUAAUUCGACGCAACGCGCAAAACCUCACCUAGAUUUGACAUGGAGCUGCAGCCCUGAAAACAGGGUCGCCUUCGAGGGUGCUCCACCGGUGCUGCAUAGGCUGUCGUCGGCUCGUGUCGUGAGAUGUUGGGUUAAGUUCCGCAACAAGCGAAACCCUCCGC